UGUGUAGGCGGUUGCUUAAGUUUGGUGUGAAAUCUCCCGGCUCAACUGGGAGGGUGCGCCGAAUACUGAGUGACUCGAGUGCGGGAGAGGAAAGUGGAAUUCCUGGUGUAGCGGUGAAAUGCGUAGAUAUCAGGAGGAACACCGGUGGUGUAGACGGCUUUCUGGACCGUAACUGACGCUGAGACACGAAAGCGUGGGUAGCAAACAGGAUUAGAUACCCUGGUAGUCCACGCCCUAAACGAUGCAUAUUUGGUGUGAGUCAUUCAGUUGAUUCGUGCCGGAGCUAACGCGUUAAAUAUGCCGCCGUGGGGAGUACAGUCGCAAGGCUAGAA
RNAcentral lists this ribosomal RNA (332 nucleotides) under uncultured bacterium. RNAcentral's name for it is "bacterial SSU rRNA". It matches the Rfam family "Bacterial small subunit ribosomal RNA", at positions 568 to 899 of the family's 1533-position model. The record is from RNAcentral.